This 497-nucleotide ribosomal RNA is filed under the name uncultured bacterium. RNAcentral describes it as "partial 16S ribosomal RNA". It matches the Rfam family "Bacterial small subunit ribosomal RNA", at positions 28 to 507 of the family's 1533-position model. The record is from RNAcentral.
GAUGAACGCUGGCGGCGUGCCUAAUACAUGCAAGUCGAGCGAACGGACGAGAAGCUUUCUCCCUUGAUGUUAGCGGCGGACGGGUGAGUAACACGUGGAUAACCUACCUAUUAGACUGGGAUAACUUCGGGAAACCGGAGCUACUACCGGAUGAUAUUUUGAACCGCAUGGUUCAAGAGUGAAUGACGGCCUUCCCGUCACUUAGAGAUGGAUCCGCGCUGCAUUAGCUAGUUGGUAAGGUAACGGCUUACCAAGGCAACGAUGCAUAGCCGACCUGAGAGGGUGAUCGGCCACACUGGAACUGAGACACGGUCCAGACUCCUACGGGAGGCAGCAGUGGGGAAUCUUCCGCAAUGGGCGAAAGCCUGACGGAGCAACGCCGCGUGAGUGAUGAAGGUCUUCGGAUCGUAAAACUCUGUUAUUAGGGAAGAACAGAUGUAUAAGUAACUGUGCACAUCUUGACGGUACCUAAUCAGAAAGCCACGGCUAACUACGUG